AGAGUUUGAUCCUGGCUCAGAUUGAACGCUGGCGGCAGGCUUAACACAUGCAAGUCGAGCGGGGAAUGGUAGCUUGCUACCUGACCUAGCGGCGGACGGGUGAGUAAUGCUUAGGAAUCUGCCUAUUAGUGGGGGACAACAUUCCGAAAGGAAUGCUAAUACCGCAUACGCCCUACGGGGGAAAGCAGGGGAUCUUCGGACCUUGCGCUAAUAGAUGAGCCUAAGUCAGAUUAGCUAGUUGGUGGGGUAAAGGCCUACCAAGGCGACGAUCUGUAGCGGGUCUGAGAGGAUGAUCCGCCACACUGGGACUGAGACACGGCCCAGACUCCUACGGGAGGCAGCAGUGGGGAAUAUUGGACAAUGGGCGCAAGCCUGAUCCAGCCAUGCCGCGUGUGUGAAGAAGGCCUUUUGGUUGUAAAGCACUUUAAGCGAGGAGGAGGCUACUUGGAUUAAUACUCUAGGAUAGUGGACGUUACUCGCAGAAUAAGCACCGGCUAACUCUGUGCCAGCAGCCGCGGUAAUACAGAGGGUGCGAGCGUUAAUCGGAUUUACUGGGCGUAAAGCGUGUGUAGGCGGCCUUUUAAGUCGGAUGUGAAAUCCCUGAGCUUAACUUAGGAAUUGCAUUCGAUACUGGGAAGCUAGAGUAUGGGAGAGGAUGGUAGAAUUUCAGGUGUAGCGGUGAAAUGCGUAGAGAUCUGGAGGAAUACCGAUGGCGAAGGCAGCCAUCUGGCCUAAUACUGACGCUGAGGUACGAAAGCAUGGGAGCAAACAGGAUUAGAUACCUUGGUAGUCCAUGCCGUAAACGAUGUCUACUAGCCGUUGGGGCCUUUGAGGCUUUAGUGGCGCAGCUAACGCGAUAAGUAGACCGCCUGGGGAGUACGGUCGCAAGACUAAAACUCAAAUGAAUUGACGGGGGCCCGCACAAGCGGUGGAGCAUGUGGUUUAAUUCGAUGCAACGCGAAGAACCUUACCUGGUCUUGACAUAGUAAGAACUUUCCAGAGAUGGAUUGGUGCCUUCGGGAACUUACAUACAGGUGCUGCAUGGCUGUCGUUAGCUCGUGUCGUGAGAUGUUGGGUUAAGUCCCGCAACGAGCGCAACCCUUUUCCUUAUUUGCCAGCGGGUUAAGCCGGGAACUUUAAGGAUACUGCCAGUGACAAACUGGAGGAAGGCGGGGACGACGUCAAGUCAUCAUGGCCCUUACGACCAGGGCUACACACGUGCUACAAUGGUCGGUACAAAGGGUUGCUACCUAGCGAUAGGAUGCUAAUCUCAAAACGCCGAUCGUAGUCCGGAUUGGAGUCUGCAACUCGACUCCAUGAAGUCGGAAUCGCUAGUAAUCGCGGAUCAGAAUGCCGCGGUGAAUACGUUCCCGGGCCUUGUACACACCG
RNAcentral lists this ribosomal RNA (1389 nucleotides) under uncultured bacterium. RNAcentral describes it as "bacterial SSU rRNA". It matches the Rfam family "Bacterial small subunit ribosomal RNA". The record is from RNAcentral.